Molecule: long non-coding RNA, 542 nt
Organism: Astyanax mexicanus (Mexican tetra)
Lineage: Eukaryota; Metazoa; Chordata; Actinopteri; Characiformes; Acestrorhamphidae
Exons: 3
Source: RefSeq, a predicted model, not a curated record
AAGUGCUUGUGAUGUUUCUGGGGUUGAAAAUAAAAAAAUCUGUGUGUGUGGUUCUGUUAGAGGUCUGGUUCUGUUAGAGGUGUAGUUCUGUUAGAGGUGUAGUUCUGUUAGAGGUGUGGUUCUGUUAGAGGUGUAGUUCUGAUAGAGGUGUGGUUCUGUUAGAGGUGUAGUUCUGUUAGAGGUGUGGUUCUGAUAGAGGUGUAGUUCUGUUAGAGGUGUGGUUCUGUUAGAGGUGUGGUUCUGUUAGAGGUGUAGUUCUGUUAGAGGUGUGGUUCUGUUAGAGGUGUAGUUCUAUUAGAGGUGUAGUUCUGUUAGAGGUGUGGUUCUGUUAGAGGUCUGGUUCUGUUAGAGGUGUAGUUCUGAUAGAGAUGUGGUUCUGUUAGAGGUGUAGUUCUAUUAGAGGUGUAGUUCUCUUUGAGGUGUGGUUCUUUUAGAGGUGUGGUUCUGUUAGAGGUGUGGUUCUGUUAGAGGUGCGGUUUCAACUGGGAAUCAUAUCUCUCUCUCUCUCUCUCUCUCUCUCACACACUGUGUAAAGUGAUUCC